This 434-nucleotide ribosomal RNA is filed under the name uncultured bacterium. RNAcentral describes it as "partial 16S ribosomal RNA". It matches the Rfam family "Bacterial small subunit ribosomal RNA", at positions 29 to 507 of the family's 1533-position model. The record is from RNAcentral.
AGCGAACGCUGGCGGCAGGCCUAACACAUGCAAGUCGAACGAACCUUUCGGGGUUAGUGGCGGACGGGUGAGUAACACGUGGGAAGGUGCCUUUAGGUUCGGAAUAACUCAGGGUGACUUGUGCUAAGACAGAAUGUGCUCUUAGUGGGAACGAUUAAUCGCCUUUAGGGCGGCCCGCGUCUGGUUAGCUAGUUGGUUGAGGUCAUGGCUCACCAAGGCGACGUUGAGUAGCUGGGAUGAGAGGAUGACCAGCCAGAUCGGAGCUGAGACACGGCCCCAACUCCGAGGGGACGGAGCAGUGGGGAAUCUAGCGGACUGGGCGAGAGCCUGACGCAGCCAUGCGGGGUAAAUGAGGAAGGGCUUAGGAUAGCAAAAUUCUUUCACCGGGGGCGAUAAUGACGGUACCCGCAGAAGAAGCCCCGGCUAACUUCGUG